UACGAAGGGGGCUAGCGUUGCUCGGAAUCACUGGGCGUAAAGCGCACGUAGGCGGAUUGCUAAGUCAGGGGUGAAAUCCUGGAGCUCAACUCCAGAACUGCCUUUGAUACUGGUGAUCUCGAGUCCGGGAGAGGUGAGUGGAACUGCGAGUGUAGAGGUGAAAUUCGUAGAUAUUAGCUAGAACACCAGUGGCGAAGGCGGCCGACUGGUCCGACACUGACGCUGAGGUGCGAAAGCGUGGGGAGCAAACAGG
RNAcentral lists this ribosomal RNA (253 nucleotides) under uncultured bacterium. Its description in RNAcentral is "partial 16S ribosomal RNA". It matches the Rfam family "Bacterial small subunit ribosomal RNA", at positions 524 to 776 of the family's 1533-position model. The record is from RNAcentral.